AAUAAGUACAGUUUUGCACUAUUCACGUUUAACGUUUGACUGUUCGUCUUAUGUUCGUCUUAUUCGUCUUAUUUGAAAAUUUUUUAUGAUUAGUAUUUUUAUUGCUAUUAGAUGAUAAAACAUGAAUAGUACUUUAUGUAUGACUAAAUAUUUUUAAAUUUUUUAUAAAUUUUUUAAAUAAGACGAACGGUCAAACGUUGGGCACGGAUAUCUACGGCUGUACUUAUU
MicroRNA precursor from Oryza rufipogon (brownbeard rice), 228 nucleotides. It matches the Rfam family "MIR812 microRNA precursor family". The record is from Rfam. Lineage: Eukaryota; Viridiplantae; Streptophyta; Magnoliopsida; Poales; Poaceae.